GGAAAUGUAGCUCAGUGGUAAAGCAUUUGCCUAGCAUGUGAGGUUCUGGGUUCAAUCCCCAGUACUGCCA
RNAcentral lists this transfer RNA (70 nucleotides) under Heterocephalus glaber (naked mole-rat). It matches the Rfam family "tRNA". Rfam says of the family: Transfer RNA (tRNA) molecules are approximately 80 nucleotides in length. Their secondary structure includes four short double-helical elements and three loops (D, anti-codon, and T loops). Further hydrogen bonds mediate the characteristic L-shaped molecular structure. tRNAs have two regions of fundamental functional importance: the anti-codon, which is responsible for specific mRNA codon recognition, and the 3' end, to which the tRNAs corresponding amino acid is attached (by aminoacyl-tRNA synthetases). tRNAs cope with the degeneracy of the genetic code in two manners: having more than one tRNA (with a specific anti-codon) for a particular amino acid; and 'wobble' base-pairing, i.e. permitting non-standard base-pairing at the 3rd anti-codon position. The record is from Rfam by way of RNAcentral. Lineage: Eukaryota; Metazoa; Chordata; Mammalia; Rodentia; Bathyergidae.